RNAcentral lists this ribosomal RNA (460 nucleotides) under uncultured bacterium. Its description in RNAcentral is "partial 16S ribosomal RNA". It matches the Rfam family "Bacterial small subunit ribosomal RNA", at positions 338 to 795 of the family's 1533-position model. The record is from RNAcentral.
CCUACGGGGUGCAGCAGUGAGGAAUAUUGGUCAAUGGGCGUAAGCCUGAACCAGCCAAGUCGCGUGAGGGAUGAAGGUUCUAUGGAUCGUAAACCUCUUUUAUAAGGGAAUAAAGUGCGGGACGUGUCCCGUUUUGUAUGUACCUUAUGAAUAAGGAUCGGCUAACUCCGUGCCAGCAGCCGCGGUAAUACGGAGGAUCCGAGCGUUAUCCGGAUUUAUUGGGUUUAAAGGGUGCGUAGGCGGCCUUUUAAGUCAGCGGGGAAAGUCGGUGGCUCAACCAUAGAAUUGCCGUUGAAACUGGGAGGCUUGAGUGUGUUUGAGGCAGGCGGAAUGCGUGGUGUAGCGGUGAAAUGCUUAGAUAUCACGCAGAACCCCGAUUGCGAAGGCAGCCUGCCAAGCCAUGACUGACGCUGAUGCACGAAAGCGUGGGGAUCAAACAGGAUUAGAUACCCCAGUAGUC